GCCCUCGUAGCUCAAUGGAUAGAGCAUUUCCCUUCUAAGGAAAAAAUGCAGGUCCGAUUCCUGCCGGGGGCA
RNAcentral lists this transfer RNA (72 nucleotides) under Candidatus Amesiibacteriota bacterium. RNAcentral describes it as "Candidatus Amesbacteria bacterium tRNA-Arg". It matches the Rfam family "tRNA". From Rfam's summary of the family: Transfer RNA (tRNA) molecules are approximately 80 nucleotides in length. Their secondary structure includes four short double-helical elements and three loops (D, anti-codon, and T loops). Further hydrogen bonds mediate the characteristic L-shaped molecular structure. tRNAs have two regions of fundamental functional importance: the anti-codon, which is responsible for specific mRNA codon recognition, and the 3' end, to which the tRNAs corresponding amino acid is attached (by aminoacyl-tRNA synthetases). tRNAs cope with the degeneracy of the genetic code in two manners: having more than one tRNA (with a specific anti-codon) for a particular amino acid; and 'wobble' base-pairing, i.e. permitting non-standard base-pairing at the 3rd anti-codon position. The record is from RNAcentral. Lineage: Bacteria; Candidatus Amesiibacteriota.